CUAAGAAUCUUGCGAAUGGGCGAAAGCCUGACGCAGCAACGCCGCGUGAAGGACGAAGCCCUCGGGUCGUAAACUUCUUUUGCGAGGGAAGCGGUACCUCGCGAAUAAGCCACGGCUAACUACGUGCCAGCAGCCGCGGUAAUACGUAGGUGGCAAGCGUUGUCCGGAUUUACUGGGCGUAAAGAGCCCGCAGGCGGUCCAAUAAGUUCCUGGUGAAAUCUCCCGGCUCAACCGGGAGGGUGCCUGGAAAACUGUUGGACUUGAGGCAGGGAGAGGGAUGUGGAAUUCCCGGUGUAGUGGUGAAAUGCGUAGAUAUCGGGAGGAACACCAGUGGCGAAGGCGGCAUCCUGGCCUGUCCUGACGCUCAGGGGCGAAAGCGUGGGGAGCAAACCG
RNAcentral lists this ribosomal RNA (393 nucleotides) under uncultured bacterium. RNAcentral describes it as "bacterial SSU rRNA". It matches the Rfam family "Bacterial small subunit ribosomal RNA", at positions 355 to 775 of the family's 1533-position model. The record is from RNAcentral.